UAACGCGAAGAACCUUACCAGGUCUUGACAUACUAUGCAAAUCUAAGAGAUUAGACGUUCCCUUCGGGGACAUGGAUACAGGUGGUGCAUGGUUGUCGUCAGCUCGUGUGGUGAGAUGUUGGGUUAAGUCCCGCAACGAGCGCAACCCUUAUUAUCAGUUGCCAGCAUUAAGUUGGGCACUCUGGUGAGACUGCCGGUGACAAACCGGAGGAAGGUGGGGAUGACGUCAAAUCAUCAUGCCCCUUAUGACCUGGGCUACACACGUGCUACAAUGGAUGGUACAACGAGUUGCGAACUCGCGAGAGUAAGCUAAUCUCUUAAAGCCAUUCUCAGUUCGGAUUGUAGGCUGCAACUCGCCUACAUGAAGUCGGAAUCGCUAGUAAUCGCGGAUCAGC
RNAcentral lists this ribosomal RNA (395 nucleotides) under uncultured bacterium. RNAcentral's name for it is "bacterial SSU rRNA". It matches the Rfam family "Bacterial small subunit ribosomal RNA", at positions 957 to 1353 of the family's 1533-position model. The record is from RNAcentral.